This is a long non-coding RNA of Mesocricetus auratus (golden hamster), 698 nucleotides long. RefSeq lists it as uncharacterized. The transcript is spliced from 3 exons. The record is from RefSeq and is a predicted model, not a curated record. Lineage: Eukaryota; Metazoa; Chordata; Mammalia; Rodentia; Cricetidae.
CCAGGGAGAUGCCAUGUAGCCUCAGAAAGAGUAACACGACAGGAGCAUUACGGUCUUCCCAGGCUCCCUCUUGUUGGAAUGGAACAAACUCAACCGGCGCAGGCCCCCUGGCGACCACACUGCCAUCUCGUGCCGUUCAACCCACUCAGGCUGCUGUAACAAAAGCCACACAGCCCGGGCAGCAUAUAGACAAGUAGAUUUGUUUGUUUCUGGGCCAGAGGCUGGAAGUUCAAGGUCAUGCCUUGGCCUGCCUGGUGUGUGUGUGUGUGGGGGGAGGGUGGCUCUGCCUGGUUUGCAGAGGAUGUUUCCUCCCUGUGUCCUCAUUUGGCUUAUCACUCCCGUUCUUCCCUAUCAGGGCACCAGAGUCCCAUCCUAAGGGCUGCGAGGCGAGUGAUCACUCCCUAAGGCCCUGUCUCUCAGCAUCACCGCCUUGAAGAACAAGCCAUGGCAGUUUGGAAUCCAGAUUCGAGGGUGCCAGCCAGCCAGCCAGCCAGCCAGCCGGAAUCCCUGCAUUUCCCAUUCUUUUUGAUAUUUCAUCAAAAACAUCUUUCUUACAACUGGUAGAGAUCCCAGGUGCCCUGGGAGUAUGCACAAAAUCUAAUCUGACCCAGGGGAAGAUUAUAGUCGGUGUAACCUAGGCAUUCUGGACCCGGGGCAUAGCACAAGGAAGCUGCAGGUGUAAUGGGCCGUCCCGGGGC